GCAAGUCGAGCGAACGGACGAGAAGCUUGCUUCUCUGAUGUUAGCGGCGGACGGGUGAGUAACACGUGGAUAACCUACCUAUAAGACUGGGAUAACUUCGGGAAACCGGAGCUAAUACCGGAUAAUAUUUUGAACCGCAUGGUUCAAAAGUGAAAGACGGUCUUGCUGUCACUUAUAGAUGGAUCCGCGCUGCAUUAGCUAGUUGGUAAGGUAACGGCUUACCAAGGCAACGAUGCAUAGCCGACCUGAGAGGGUGAUCGGCCACACUGGAACUGAGACACGGUCCAGACUCCUACGGGAGGCAGCAGUAGGGAAUCUUCCGCAAUGGGCGAAAGCCUGACGGAGCAACGCCGCGUGAGUGAUGAAGGUCUUCGGAUCGUAAAACUCUGUUAUUAGGGAAGAACAUAUGUGUAAGUAACUGUGCACAUCUUGACGGUACCUAAUCAGAAAGCCACGGCUAACUACGUGCCAGCAGCCGCGGUAAUACGUAGGUGGCAAGCGUUAUCCGGAAUUAUUGGGCGUAAAGCGCGCGUAGGCGGUUUUUUAAGUCUGAUGUGAAAGCCCACGGCUCAACCGUGGAGGGUCAUUGGAAACUGGAAAACUUGAGUGCAGAAGAGGAAAGUGGAAUUCCAUGUGUAGCGGUGAAAUGCGCAGAGAUAUGGAGGAACACCAGUGGCGAAGGCGACUUUCUGGUCUGUAACUGACGCUGAUGUGCGAAAGCGUGGGGAUCAAACAGGAUUA
Molecule: ribosomal RNA, 741 nt
Filed under: uncultured Staphylococcus sp.
Lineage: Bacteria; Bacillati; Bacillota; Bacilli; Caryophanales; Staphylococcaceae
Description: bacterial SSU rRNA
Rfam family: Bacterial small subunit ribosomal RNA
Source: RNAcentral